Molecule: long non-coding RNA, 764 nt
Organism: Gossypium arboreum
Lineage: Eukaryota; Viridiplantae; Streptophyta; Magnoliopsida; Malvales; Malvaceae
Exons: 2
Source: RefSeq, a predicted model, not a curated record
ACGAAGGGGAAGGAUCUAACGUGCAAAUUCCCCAUUUUGAACAAAUGGCACAGAUCCGGCAUGCUAAUCGGGCCAACGCGUGGAUCCUUAUUUCUUUUGAAUGGCACCACUUUUUAUUGUGCCUUUAAACAUAACUUUUUAACUUUAAAAAAACAGAAGCCAUCAAUCUCUCUUGCUAGGAUUUCAUUCAACUCACCGUCGACGAACCAAUAUCACGCCUAGUGGCCGACGGCGUGCGAUUAAUGACCAGAUCUUUGCCAACGAAGGCCGCAACUAUGGAAAUCUGGUAGAUUACUCUUUCACUCUUCUUAUUUUCUAAAAAAAAACUUCAAAUCCUAUACUAUCUCCACACUCUUGGAAUAUUCGGCUCUUCUCAGCGCCGACGCAGGUAGGCACGACAUGGCGAAGCCGCUCAUGAGCUUGUCAAUGUGGGGCGUGAAGUGUUAGGGCUACUUAUGGCGUUUGCGGCCCUGGCUGUUGGCUAGGGUUGGCCGAAAGUUUGGUUGGUAUUUUGGGCCUAGGGUAUUUUGGGUUUAGGUUUAUUAGGUUGGGUUUAUUGUUGGGUUAAUAAAUGUAAAUGACUGGACUUUUAAAUUAGUUUGGUUUUAUUAUUAUUUUUAUUUUUUGGCUUUCUGGCUUAUUAUAGGCCCGGGUAAAUUGAGCCUAUUACAGAUUGUUUAUGUUUAAUUUUAAUGUUUAGCUAAAUUGUCAUGUGAUAAAUACUUGGGAUAUGAAUAUGAGGCGAUUUGAUGCUUGUUAAUUAA